This is a non-coding RNA of Brachypodium distachyon (stiff brome), 117 nucleotides long. The record is from Rfam. NCBI's taxonomy places the organism in Eukaryota, Viridiplantae, Streptophyta, Magnoliopsida, Poales, Poaceae.
CAGGAUACCCUUUGACUCUCCUUAGUUCAACAAAAUGAACUAAAAUUUUAAAAUAACACAACUUUUUGAAAAACUAGUUCAUUUGUUUGAACUAAGAAGGGUCAAAGGGUCAACAUG